AUCUAUGGCCAUGCCACCCUGAACACCCCCGAUCUCUUCUGAUCUCUGAAGCUAAGCAGGGUCGGGCCUGGUUAGUACUUGGAUGGGAGACCACCUAGGAAGACUGGUGCUGUAGGCA
This 118-nucleotide ribosomal RNA is filed under the name Pteropus alecto (black flying fox). Lineage: Eukaryota; Metazoa; Chordata; Mammalia; Chiroptera; Pteropodidae. RNAcentral also lists the same sequence under 1 other name. The record is from RNAcentral.